AAGCCAAGCAAAUCAAGAAUGUUGUUCCAAUUGCUCAUUCAUGAUUGGCCUCGCUUUUA
This 59-nucleotide non-coding RNA is filed under the name Spodoptera frugiperda (fall armyworm). The record is from RNAcentral. Lineage: Eukaryota; Metazoa; Arthropoda; Insecta; Lepidoptera; Noctuidae.